GACGAACGCUGGCGGCGUGCUUAACACAUGCAAGUCGAACGGAAAGGCCCUUCUUUUGUGGGGUGCUCGGGUGGCGAACGGGUGAGUAACACGAGAGUAACCUGCCCUUGACUUUGGGAUAACUUCAGGAAACUGGGGCUAAUACCGGAUAGGAGCUCCUGCUGCAUGGUGGGGGUUGGAAAGUGUCGGCGGUUGGGGAUGGACUCGCGGCUUAUCAGCUUGUUGGUGGGGUAGUGGCUUACCAAGGCUUUGACGGGUAGCCGGCCUGAGAGGGUGACCGGCCACAUUGGGACUGAGAUACGGCCCAGACUCCUACGGGAGGCAGCAGUGGGGAAUAUUGCACAAUGGGCGGAAGCCUGAUGCAGCAACGCCGCGUGCGGGAUGACGGCCUUCGGGUUGUAAACCGCUUUCGCCUGUGACGAAGCGUGAGUGACGGUAAUGGGUAAAGAAGCACCGGCUAACUACGUG
Molecule: ribosomal RNA, 468 nt
Filed under: uncultured bacterium
Lineage: Bacteria
Description: partial 16S ribosomal RNA
Rfam family: Bacterial small subunit ribosomal RNA
Source: RNAcentral